GUGUGCCCAUUUAUCUUAGAUGAGUCUGUUUUUUCUUGUAGCUUUAUGCUUUUCUUUAAAGCAUUCUCCCAAGAAGUGGUGCCCAGAUAUCAAAUUUUACCUUCCCAAGACUAAUGAUGAGAACUCAGUAAUCCUUGGGAAAUGAAGAUGAGAACUUGGCCAAGGCUUACCUCUGUGAAGUAACCAGAAGUCUUUUCCUCUCCUUUACAGUCUUCAGCAGCGUCUGCUCAGAACUUGGUUCCUGGCUAAAGGACUGUAUUUGUAUGUAGUAUUUCCAGCUGGUUUCUGUUGCACAAGGAAUACUGAUGCUCAUGUGUAGCAGUACUCAAGAUGUCAGUUCAUGAGCUUUCUUAGUCACCCAGAAGUGCACAAGGGAGGCACUGUGUGUUCAGGCAGGUUAGGACGACUUCAGCAAGGAUCAUUCUCAUUGUGCUGCUAAUGUUUUCCCUUCUGCCACCUGCCAGAAUUGAGAAUGGUAUCUUUCAGUCUGUGUCAGAGCUGCAAAUGAUCCCCUUUCUGCAGGAUAUUUGGACCUUCAGAGCACGAGUUGUGCAAGGGGAAAGAAUUAAUCUGUAGAACAACCUGCGAAGACCAGGAUGGAAAAAUGUGCCUAUAUGAGCUGCUGUGAUGGGAAAGCACAGACCCUACAUCAGCAAUUGGAAUUACAUGCACUUUGUUGACCUCUGCAUUGGUAACUUAGCCAAAUGCUGCACUGCUAAGUGGUUUUAUGCUAAUACAAAAUAAUUGCACUAAGGUUGAACAGCUGAUGUACGUCAAGGAAAAUCUAACCUAGAAAAACAGAUUUGCUGUGGUUCUUUCAGACAAUCAAAGAAUAAUGGUCUUUAAAGAUCACCUUGAUCAUUUUGAUGUCUUCACUCUCAUUUUUAAGGUUUCUCCUGUGACAUACCUUUGAGCUGAUGCUAUAUUAAUACAAGAUUUUUAUGCAAGGAUUUAUGCAAGAGUUUGUAAUUUUUAAACUGCCCAACAUCCUGUUCUGUGCAAAGGAAGUGCAGGAAGUCAGUUUCAUGUGAGCCUUCAGUGCAGGAUGA
RNAcentral lists this long non-coding RNA (1049 nucleotides) under Chrysolophus pictus (golden pheasant). RNAcentral's name for it is "lncRNA (ENSCPIG00010010442.1)". Lineage: Eukaryota; Metazoa; Chordata; Aves; Galliformes; Phasianidae. The record is from RNAcentral.